UAAGCAGCACCACCAAAAUUAUCGUCUCCUCCACGUUCCUUCAAGGUACACUGCCCGCACCUUCAGGGAACAGGAUUGCAUCAAGAAUUUGGCAAUUCAAUUUACGAAUCAGUUGUGUACGAGGCGUUACACCCCUUGAAUUGGUUUCGUUGCCAGUGUUCCUUGUCAAACCGUGCGCUGUAGAUUUACCAUUUAUGAUAGAAAACUAUAGCUAGCAGCAGCUACACACUGGCAUAUAUGUGCUGAUAUCACUUUCCCGACCUUUCGCUAUUUUUUACAGUCUCUGUUCCUUAGUUGUAGAUGCUUCCCCUUGAAAUUACUUCAGGUCUCUUAACGUUACAGUUUAUGUUCCAAAGCAAGUAGCUAGCAAUUCAUGCUAACGUUUUCGAUAGAAAAUAUGGGUUACUAAUAUUUUUUUGUAAAACAAAAACAAACAAAAAAACCGGUAGUCAAGCUAACCCCCUUUUAGCCUAUCAGAAGUGAAAAAUAUGGAAGUCCUGCCUUUAAUCGAUUUUGAGUGACACUUCUUGCAUACACUGCGUGAGCGUGGUCAGCGGAGAAAGUGGGACCGAAAAGGCAAAAAACAUUCCGUGAGUAGAUCGUGCACAGAGAAGUUCAUAAUUUCAUCAGAACAUGAUAUAAAUCACUGAAAUUUACCAGAUUAAUUGUAGGAAGGUUUAUGCCCACAGUUCAACUACCGUGAGUCCGUCUGGAGCCCCGGUUUCAUAUUAUUUUGUUCUUCGUGAGUGAGUUCGCUUCAGCAUUCUAACAUGUCCACUCUUUAAUGUGAAGGAGGCUAGCUCCGGUAAGCGGCGUUAAGUUAAAUUCAUGCUCAAUUCAUGAAAUAGUUAAAUUAAGUUGUUGAUUUGAGCUGCCACAGUAUAAAUGUUGGUACAUGUAUUUAGUAGAACGUGUGUAAUGUUUACCAUUUGACAAUUUCGUCGAAUUAACAGAGCCGUUCAUGGUUUUGUAAUUUGAGCUAUGCUAAGCGAAGGCCACAUAAAAAUAAAAACCAGUAUCGCAUUUAUUUUGUUAAAACUAGAACAUGUUUCAUGUUGGUGAUUAACUUCUAUGUUAAUAUAAACCGAGUUGAAGCACUUAAUAUAGCUGAAUAAGCUAACUGAGUUUAAGCACUUAUUCCAGCUACAAGCUAUAAGUGCUCUCACUGUAAUGUAUUUCAGGGUAUUUCAUGUGUUAAAAUGAACUGCGAAUUCAUUUUACAGUUGAAUAGUAUACUGUACAGUUAAAGCAGAUGUUAUUUUGAGCUGAUACUUGAACUUAUUGAACUAGAUUAUUGAACUAGGGUAUAACAGAUAAAGGGCCUAUAAAUGUUAUUUACCGUAGUAUUAUGUUGUAUGCAGCGGAAGACUGUAAGCCCUGAUUCGUAAUACAGGUCAGGUCUUUUGAACACCCUGGUCUUUUGAGAAGACCCUGGUCUGUGUGAUCCUGUGAUUGUGAUGACCCUUGGUAGGGAGUCCAGUGUUAAUGAAACCAGUCUAUGGUUGAUCCACAAUUUGUGAUGGCGAGACACCCAGCUUGAACUUCAUUGACAACUGCACGCAGAGGACAGAAGCAUCAUCUGCCGGAAAGACUGAACUUCUCAUUGUCACUACGGUGUGACAGUGGUGCUUUCCAUUAAGUGAAAGUGAAGCUACCCAUCAGCAGCUAUUUCCAGCAAAAAACAAAAAUAAAACAAAGCAAAGCAAAAAAAAAACAAAAAAACAAAAAAAAAAAAACAGGACGUGAAAAGGGACCAUUGAAUUACAGUGCUGAACAUCGCAGCUGGGACAGUCUUCUUGCUUCACUUGAAAAGUGGAUAAAGGGUAUGAAUGGAAUGUAUGGAAUUGUAGUCCUAUUGUCCCUACAAUGAUCAUUAUCUAUUUGCUAGGCAGAUACUCCCAUCUACUGUAAGGGGACUUGAAUUGCUCACAUCUCAUUGCAUUGUUUGACUGUGGCAGUUUUAUGUGACCAUUCAUUUUUUUGUGUGUGCUGAUAAUAUCUCCUCACAUCCCUGAGUCAUACUUCAUCUGCUUUCAACAACAACUUUCUCCCGCUGUUGAUUUUGACCUUGUCUGAAAGAAAAAUGUUUGUUCCCGAACAAACCUCUUUAUUUGAAUCGCCAUUUUACAAAUAACAUCUCAUCUGCAAUAUAUACUUUUUUAGAUUUAUUAGGCUGCUUUAUUAGUUUGUAAUUAACACUGAAUUAACUGUUUUCUGAGAGAAAGAGAGCUAAUGUCAAAUGAACACAAUCUGUAUUUCAUCCAUAGCUACUUAGGAUGGGUUACCUUCUGUAGGAUACACAUGUCCUUGCAUUGCAUAAAGUGCAGUGCAUACCACAUUCUCAGUUUAUUUGAAUACAUAUAUCUGAACAAUGGGAUAGCCCAGUGGUUAUCUUCCACUCAGAAGGAAAGUUUGUGUCUACCUUCAUGUUGAUUGUGGUGGAAAUGUGUAUGCACAGGUCGAUAGGAACUGGAAAAAUAAAAUAAAAACAUCCCUGAACAGCAUAUUCACAUGACAGGAAAUGUGAAUGAAGUAGAAACAGACCCAGUCCUAAGGUAUAAUCACCCUGGUGCAUAGCACUUUUGAUGCAGUAGAUCAGAGAAAAUUAACUAUGCAGAAACUCAGAGUGGAAGAAGACCCUCAGACAUGACUCUAAGGCCAGCACUGUAUUAAAUAUUUUAAAAAGUUGGAAUAGGAUUCUUGUACUUUAACAAAAAAUAAAAGUUCAGGAAAUUAAAAGAAGUUCCUCUGUUAAACUUUAUCAAUCUGGCCAGUGACAGUAUUUCAGGAGUACACAGUUUAGCCCACUCUUGUUGCUUCUUUCUCCUAAAGUGAAAUGAUAUCUGGUCUCAGCGGAGAGUAUAACCUGUUUCCUUUUCACUGACAACAUUUUCAGAGUUCAGUGAACUGUAACACUCAUCACAUGGUGUUCUUUGUUUUGUAAUUGUAAUUUUUAUAGAUAUAUCGCAGUGUCAGUCUGCCAGUUUUUUUUUUUAGCAGAAGGCACAUUUUAUUUCAAAAGUUGUCUGAUCCUUUUGAAAUGUAAAAAAGGUAGGCUAAGAAAAAUCACAUGUAAUGUUCUGUAAUUUGAAGGUAUAGUUCUGUCAUUUGAGAGUAAUUUCUGCAGCAUUUCUAAGCAGCACACUUAAUUUCCAUUGGACAGGCAUGCCCAUUUGGACUUUCUACUUAGAGGUACUGUAGUAAUCUUAAGUAUAAAUUGUAUAGUAGUAAUUGUAUACUAUGCAGAACACAUUGACAUUGACAUAUGUUGUUACAGUGUGUUGCUAUAUAGGGCUUGGAUAUGCAGGUUUUAUUAUACUUUGUCUUUGCUGCCUGAGAAAAGGAAGUAGAGUAAUCGAGGCUGCAGAACCUUAUUUUGGUGAACAAGCAAAACAGUAUGAUUUAAGCUUAAACUUGGGUCUGCAUGCCUACAUUUUUGUGGUAACAUUUUACAUCAAACGUAGUGCACAUUAGUGUAAACCAAAAUGGUUGACAGAAAAAGCUCCCUUUACUUGGAAAAUAUCUACCUAGAAAUUACAGUAACUUGUCAUUGAUCUCUAUGCAAUUGGGUGGAAGCAAACUUUUCCUAAAUGAGAUGCAUAAGUACACAUGACUGUAUCAGCUUUAAUGGGCCAAGGUAAGGGCCACUUUUAAAAACUGCAUAUUAAUCGAACUGGAGUCACCUUGAGUAGAUGUUAAAUUGCACCUUUUCAGGGGAAAAAAGUCAAGUGUGUUUAAAACAAUUUCAGGGAAAAUUCAACACAAACUGGUUUCAAUCAAUACCAAUCAUGGCUUCUUUGAUUGCAACAAAGGCUUGGUUAAGUGGCUGACCUAAGAAGUACACUGCCCAGUUGAACAAAAUAAAGCACAGCCUUUUGGCAUGGUUAUGAAACAUUUCAGAUAGUUUUGUUUUCUUAUAUUUUGAUAGAGCCCCUGCCUUUAGGCAUGAAAGUUACUUAACUUUAUGCAUAAGUUCUAGGAUAGUUUUUUAUGUUAAAAAAUGGCUCAGUUUAUUUUAUAGUCUCUGCUCUUACACACUUUUAAAUUCAUGUUAUUGCCACAAAUGUAUUAAUGUGUUCAAGAAACAUAACCUGAAAACAAGAUUCUUGAUUCAGCUUCCACAGGGUACAAGGUAGUUUAUACUACAGCGUUUAGUGUUUCCCUGGGCAGAAUUGAUUGUUUAUACCCCUUGUAGAGUGCUUUGACCUUCUGGUAUUACUCAUACUGUAUAUGUGUAUGAAAUUCCUGUUAUGUAGUCAGGUCAUGCUCUGUUUGGUUGACAUGGUAGUAUUCCUUGGCGUUUAUAGAGUUGGAUGCCAUAAGCCUUUUUCAGUUCAGUGAUGUCUACAGAGAUUUUUACUCAACUUCAAUUCCACCAUAAUUUUCUGUACUCAUUUUUCAUACAGGAAUUUCAGCUUGAAACUAUCUUAGAUAUUAAAUGUUCAAGCUAUAUCCAUCAAGUUUAUUUGUUAAAGCAAUGAGUUAAAUAUUGAUGGUUAGCUAACUAUUUCAGAAACAUAGCUUUUUGAUAGCUAGCAGGCAAGCUAUCAAAGCUAUUGAAUGAAAUAAAAUCAAUUUUAUUUGUAUAGCAGUUUUUUUUUACAGAAAAUGGUCACAAAGGGGCUCUGCUGAGUGUCAGAGAAGUACAAAAACAGAGUAAAAACCAGGCCUGAACCUGGAAGAAAUCUCAGGAGGAACCUGACUAUAGAGUGAGCCCAUCCUCCACUGGCCAGCUUAGUGUAAAGUAAUGGUAGAUUGGAUGUAGCAGAAAUGUAAUAAGGGAUCGAUCACGGCAAAUAGGAUGGGUUGCGCAGGUUACAGUUGCGGUAAUAAACUAACUGGAGUAGUAGAAGUCCAAAUUGUAUACUUCAGUAUAGUGCAGUUUAGAGGGGCAAAGCGAUACAUCUGGAGCAAGGCACGGGUGUGAAGGUGGGGUGGAACAGGGCUGCAGCGGACUGCGACCAUGGAGUGAGGGCAGGGCAGCAACAAUCCCGUGAACUUGCGGCAAGGUACAAGGCUGGAGUAGUCCGUGAACUCAGGGCGAGGGAAGGGCAGGAGACUCAAAAGAAAGAGAGAAGAUGAGGUUCGGCACAAUAAAGUUUGUCACCACACAGAGUAAAUGUCUCUGGGCCAAAAAA
This is a long non-coding RNA of Anguilla rostrata (American eel), 5138 nucleotides long. RefSeq lists it as uncharacterized. The transcript has 2 exons. NCBI's taxonomy places the organism in Eukaryota, Metazoa, Chordata, Actinopteri, Anguilliformes, Anguillidae. The record is from RefSeq and is a predicted model, not a curated record.